AACUUUUUUUUAUUUUUUCAGGUUCUUAAUAAAGGUGCUAGGAAAGAAUGUAAAACAGGAAAAUAAUUAAAUAUUUUCACUGUGAACUACAGACAAUUUUAAGAGGCUGGCCUGUUGCUCAAUGGACUCAUUCUAUUUGCAUCUAUGGGUAUUAAAGAUUCAUGGAUGAGAAAAGAAGAAUUUUAAAUAUUCUCAGGGAUCUACCUGUGUGACCAAGAUAUCUCUGCGUGAGAAAAACAUGACACUCUGAGGGCUGAAAGGUUUCUGUGCUACACUGGAGCUGAAAAAAAAAACUACAUGGGGAACACUAAGCAUCCUGAAAGCCAGGAAAUGGUAAGUGU
This 341-nucleotide long non-coding RNA is filed under the name Ictidomys tridecemlineatus (thirteen-lined ground squirrel). Its description in RNAcentral is "lncRNA (ENSSTOG00000033327.1)". Lineage: Eukaryota; Metazoa; Chordata; Mammalia; Rodentia; Sciuridae. The record is from RNAcentral.